UUUAUAGUUUAAAGAUAUUUUGAAGACCACUAGAUUAUAUAGUCUCUAAAUUUGUCAAGUUCUUAAAUUAUAUGAUUCUAUGGUAUGUUUAAAAUCAUGAAAUGAGUUAGCGACUCUACAGUGAGGCUAAUUCUUAUCAGUGAAUUUAGUCCAUCUUUUAGCUAGAAUAGUUUGGGUUUGUGUUUCAGUUACCUUUUGUUGUGUUGCUAUUUUUUUUUUAAUUCUGCCUGCUGACUGGGGGGUCCCUCUGCUAAUCUUUCGGGGCUCACUCAGGUAGCUGCUUCCAGCUGGUGGAAGUUCUGAGACCGUUGCUCAGCCAAACUUCUCUUGCUACAUGAUCUUUAUCCAGGUGUCCUUACGGCAUGGUGGUCUCAAAGUGGUGUUCCAGGAGAACCAGCCUCAGUGCACAAGCCUUUAUCAAACUUUUGCUUGUGUUGUAUGUGAUGAUGAUCCAUUCACUAAAGCAAGUCCCAUGGCCAAGUCCAGAGUCAAUAUGGAAGGGGAUGCACAAAGACAGCAUUUAGAUAUUUCAUAUCCUGUCCAUGAAAUGUACCUAGAAGCCAAAUCUACCUACAUGUGAGAGAGGGAGAACUUCAAGAAAUUUCCAGAUUAAGAUUCUAUUCACUGAAAUGCCAGAAUACUUCUAAAUUCAUUGCUUACUUUCACUUCCCGUGCUCACAAAGGAACAACCCGGGUUCAGCUCAGGAACUGCAGGUCCGUGGAAAACGAAGCUGAAUAGCAAGCUGGAAGGAAUCUGGACAUUUCGGAGUGAGGACUUGGCUUUCCAUUAAUCUUCCAGACAAGAGUCAGGUUCACGACUUAGAAAUGAAAGAACUUGUGCAGCAGGUGACAUCAUGUUGCGGUAAUGCCUUGUUUAUCGGGGACAGACGUCAUCAUCUUGCCUCUUGCGUUGCCACCACUCUGCUUGGGAAUUUAAACAAAAUUCUAGCUUGUUAAAAGUGACCAGAUUUCUCUGAAAUAAAGAUUUUCUAAGAGG
Phyllostomus discolor (pale spear-nosed bat) is the source of this 997-nucleotide long non-coding RNA. RefSeq lists it as uncharacterized. The record is from RefSeq and is a predicted model, not a curated record. The transcript is spliced from 3 exons. NCBI's taxonomy places the organism in Eukaryota, Metazoa, Chordata, Mammalia, Chiroptera, Phyllostomidae.